GGUUGAUAUUCCUGUACCACCUCUUUAUCGUUUGAGCAAUGGAGGGACGCAGAAGGAUAGAAGAAGCGUGCGAUUGGUUGUGCACGUCCAAGCAGUUAGGCUGAUAAGUAGGCAAAUCCGCUUAUCGCGUAGGCUGAGCUGUGAUGGGGAAGCUCCUUAUGGAGCGAAGUCUUUGAUUCCCCGCUGCCAAGAAAAGCUUCUAGCGAGAUAAAAGGUGCCUGUACCGCAAACCGACACAGGUAGGCGAGGAGAGAAUCCU
RNAcentral lists this ribosomal RNA (259 nucleotides) under Bacillus cereus. RNAcentral describes it as "partial 23S ribosomal RNA". It matches the Rfam family "Bacterial large subunit ribosomal RNA", at positions 1428 to 1682 of the family's 2925-position model. Lineage: Bacteria; Bacillati; Bacillota; Bacilli; Caryophanales; Bacillaceae. The record is from RNAcentral.